CGGAUAGCUAUCACUCUCUCUAUC
RNAcentral lists this non-coding RNA (24 nucleotides) under Arabidopsis thaliana (thale cress). Lineage: Eukaryota; Viridiplantae; Streptophyta; Magnoliopsida; Brassicales; Brassicaceae. The record is from RNAcentral.